RNAcentral lists this ribosomal RNA (467 nucleotides) under uncultured bacterium. RNAcentral describes it as "partial 16S ribosomal RNA". It matches the Rfam family "Bacterial small subunit ribosomal RNA", at positions 29 to 507 of the family's 1533-position model. The record is from RNAcentral.
ACGAACGCUGGCGGCGUGCUUAACACAUGCAAGUCGAACGGAAAGGCCCUGCUUUUGUGGGGUGCUCGAGUGGCGAACGGGUGAGUAACACGUGAGUAACCUGCCCUUGACUUUGGGAUAACUUCAGGAAACUGGGGCUAAUACCGGAUAGGAGCUCCUGCUGCAUGGUGGGGGUUGGAAAGUUUCGGCGGUUGGGGAUGGACUCGCGGCUUAUCAGCUUGUUGGUGGGGUAGUGGCUUACCAAGGCUUUGACGGGUAGCCGGCCUGAGAGGGUGACCGGCCACAUUGGGACUGAGAUACGGCCCAGACUCCUACGGGAGGCAGCAGUGGGGAAUAUUGCACAAUGGGCGGAAGCCUGAUGCAGCAACGCCGCGUGCGGGAUGACGGCCUUCCGGUUGUAAACCGCUUUCGCCUGUGACGAAGCGUGAGUGACGGUAAUGGGUAAAGAAGCACCGGCUAACUACGUG